UUCUGACGAGUUCCGGAGUCGUCC
RNAcentral lists this small nuclear RNA (24 nucleotides) under Arabidopsis thaliana (thale cress). Its description in RNAcentral is "snRNA_13547". Lineage: Eukaryota; Viridiplantae; Streptophyta; Magnoliopsida; Brassicales; Brassicaceae. The record is from RNAcentral.